This 492-nucleotide ribosomal RNA is filed under the name uncultured bacterium. Its description in RNAcentral is "partial 16S ribosomal RNA". It matches the Rfam family "Bacterial small subunit ribosomal RNA", at positions 29 to 507 of the family's 1533-position model. The record is from RNAcentral.
AGUGAACGCUGGCGGUAGGCCUAACACAUGCAAGUCGAACGGCAGCACAGUAAGAGCUUGCUCUUACGGGUGGCGAGUGGCGGACGGGUGAGGAAUACAUCGGAAUCUACUUUUUCGUGGGGGAUAACGUAAGGAAACUUACGCUAAUACCGCAUACGACCUACGGGUGAAAGCAGGGGAUCUUCGGACCUUGCGCGAUUGAAUGAGCCGAUGUCGGAUUAGCUAGUUGGCGGGGUAAAGGCCCACCAAGGCGACGAUCCGUAGCUGGUCUGAGAGGAUGAUCAGCCACACUGGAACUGAGACACGGUCCAGACUCCUACGGGAGGCAGCAGUGGGGAAUAUUGGACAAUGGGCGUAAGCCUGAUCCAGCCAUACCGCGUGGGUGAAGAAGGCCUUCGGGUUGUAAAGCCCUUUUGUUGGGAAAGAAAAGCAGCAGGUUAAUACCCCGCUGUUCUGACGGUACCCAAAGAAUAAGCACCGGCUAACUUCGUG